Molecule: unclassified non-coding RNA, 266 nt
Filed under: Hevea brasiliensis (rubber tree)
Lineage: Eukaryota; Viridiplantae; Streptophyta; Magnoliopsida; Malpighiales; Euphorbiaceae
Source: RNAcentral
GAAGAGAUUUCUUGAGAAGCAUAAAAAGUCACGUACAGUAUUACUUGUUAUUGUUUUAUUGGCUGCUUGUAUGGUCAUAGGCGAUGGUGUUCUGACACCUGCAAUGUCAGUCAUAUCAUCGAUGUCAGGGAUACAGGCUGCUGCAGAUCGCCUAACUCAUGAUGAAGUGGUGUUUCUUUCUUGCAUAAUAUUGGUUGGCCUGUUCGCUUUACAGCAUUCUGGAACCCACAGGGUUGGAUUUUUGUUUGCACCAAUCGUGCUCAUCU